Molecule: non-coding RNA, 447 nt
Organism: Bombina bombina (fire-bellied toad)
Lineage: Eukaryota; Metazoa; Chordata; Amphibia; Anura; Bombinatoridae
Source: the annotation of a RefSeq genome assembly
GGAAGGUACAGGGUCUUAUAACAUCUUGUUAUAAAUAUGAAGACAAUAUUUUGGUAUCUGUGUGUUGUUUUCUCAAUACAAAGUGUCACUUCUCAAAUUUCCCUGGAGCAGUUUGGUAAUGGGAUAGUGAAACCAACAGAGGAACUAUCAUUGACCUGUAAAGUGACAGGUGCCUCACUGACUGAUAGCUCCAAGAUAUGGUCAGUGCUAUGGGUCAGAGAAGCUAUGGGAAAAGGAUUGGAGUGGCUGGGAGGUAUAUGGCAUGAUGCUAUUGCACGCUAUGCUCAGUCUAUGCAAGGACGUCUGACUGUGUCAAGGGACACAAAUAAAGGGGAAGUUUAUUUUAAACUCACUGGAAUGAAGACAGAAGAAUCAUCCACAUAUUAUUGUACAACAGAGCACACUGUGACAAACCAACUGACAGAAUGUGCAAUAACUUACAUAUGA